AUAUGGCACCACCAUAUUCCGCAGCGCUUUAUAGAUUUAGAGGGUUCGUGUACAAAACAAAAGACAUCACAAGGUAACAUGCUAAUAUGCAACUUAAACUCUAUGAGGGCCCGGCUCGCAAGAGUUUAUAAUCUAUUAUGAAGCUUAAAGUUGUAGUUUGG
This is a long non-coding RNA of Bufo bufo (common toad), 161 nucleotides long. RefSeq lists it as uncharacterized. The transcript is spliced from 2 exons. NCBI's taxonomy places the organism in Eukaryota, Metazoa, Chordata, Amphibia, Anura, Bufonidae. The record is from RefSeq and is a predicted model, not a curated record.